AUUGAACGCUGGCGGCAUGCCGUACACAUGCAAGUCGAACGGUAACAGGUCUUCGGAUGCUGACGAGUGGCGAACGGGUGAGUAAUACAUCGGAACGUGCCUAGUAGUGGGGGAUAACUACUCGAAAGAGUGGCUAAUACCGCAUGAGAUCUACGGAUGAAAGCAGGGGAUCGCAAGACCUUGUGCUACUAGAGCGGCCAAUGGCAGAUUAGGUAGUUGGUGGGAUAAAAGCUUACCAAGCCGACGAUCUGUAGCUGGUCUGAGAGGACGAUCAGCCACACUGGGACUGAGACACGGCCCAGACUCCUACGGGAGGCAGCAGUGGGGAAUUUUGGACAAUGGGCGCAAGCCUGAUCCAGCAAUGCCGCGUGCAGGAUGAAGGCCUUCGGGUUGUAAACUGCUUUUGUACGGAACGAAAAGCCCUGGGUUAAUACCCUGGGGUCAUGACGGUACCGUAAGAAUAAGCACCGGCUAACUACGUGCCAGCAGCCGCAGUAA
Molecule: ribosomal RNA, 498 nt
Filed under: uncultured bacterium
Lineage: Bacteria
Description: partial 16S ribosomal RNA
Rfam family: Bacterial small subunit ribosomal RNA
Source: RNAcentral